GGCCGCGGUAAUACGGAGGGAGCUAGCGUUGUUCGGAAAUACUGGGCGUAAAGCGCACGUAGGCGGCACUGCAAGUCAGGGGUGAAAUCCCGAGGCUCAACCUCGGAACUGCCUUUGAUACUGGGGAUCUCGAGUCCGGGAGAGGUGAGUGGAACUGCGAGUGUAGAGGUGAAAUUCGUAGAUAUUCGCAAGAACACCAGUGGCGAAGGCGGCUCACUGGCCCGGUACUGACGCUGAGGUGCGAAAGCGUGGGGAGCAAACA
Molecule: ribosomal RNA, 262 nt
Filed under: uncultured bacterium
Lineage: Bacteria
Description: partial 16S ribosomal RNA
Rfam family: Bacterial small subunit ribosomal RNA
Source: RNAcentral